Molecule: non-coding RNA, 96 nt
Organism: Marasmius sp. AFHP31
Lineage: Eukaryota; Fungi; Basidiomycota; Agaricomycetes; Agaricales; Marasmiaceae
Source: the annotation of a GenBank genome assembly
AGCAGCAUGGCGCAGUGGUAGCGCGCGGGGCCCAUAUGAGUGUCGUCCACCAAAAAUGGUACCCCGAGGUCACUUGAUCGAAACAAGUUGCUGCUA